This is a long non-coding RNA of Pteropus alecto (black flying fox), 1529 nucleotides long. RefSeq lists it as uncharacterized. The record is from RefSeq and is a predicted model, not a curated record. Lineage: Eukaryota; Metazoa; Chordata; Mammalia; Chiroptera; Pteropodidae. The transcript is spliced from 3 exons.
GAACGCCCUAAGAGGUUGUGCUGCUGGGGUGGUUGGAAGCGGUCGGUGGGCGGGCGUAUGGCGGCCAAGCCUGGGACACCACGAGGCCGGCUGGCGCCGUGGAGUCACUCUUCCUGACUCUAAAACUCACAAAGGCUGGAAGGGAUGGUCGGGGGCGCUCAGGGGCCAGCCCUUGGUCUCACCGAUGGCGGUGGGCAAACGCCCAAUACGGAGGACCGCCGCUGGGGCGAGGAGGAUGAUUUUCAGGGCGUAGGAGGAGAGGGCUCACUGCCCCGAUGCAGAGCAGCAGCCCCAGAUGGAUAAGGAGUUGAGGCCCCAGGGAUGCUGAGCUCUACCGAGUGGAAGUGACUGGGCCACCAGAAUCUGAAAACCCAAAAUCGCUUGAGUGCAUGGAGUUCAGAGCUGAAGCUGUGCACGGAUCCGCGGUGGGACCCGAGAGACCCCACGAGUGGCCAGACGUCUGAGGAGCUGACUGCCCCUCAGGCAGCCGGGCAGCCAGGCCGCCGGGACCAGAGGGACCCGGUCAGGAAGAGAGGCCCCCAGACGACCUGCUCUGAAAGCAGCCCCCAGCCUGAGGAGCACGCCCCAAACACCAAGGAGACCUUUGCCUUGGUGAACUGAGGCUGCUAAGGUGUCACCAGAGGAGAAACAGAACACAUCGUCGCGUUCACGUGCAGGAGGAAUCUCAACUCUGGGAGCCCGUUUCGCUCGGGCAGUUUCUCACGCCUGCAAGCCAGCGGCAGGGCACACGGGACGUCCUGCGAGUCCUCGGCCGCCUCCAGACUCGGGACGCGCCCCGCUGCCCCGGCGCCCCCGCUGACAAGCCGGCGGCCGCCGCGCACAGCAAAGCGCGGGGUGCCGUGCGCCCUCCCCAGGAGGGGACCCGGCAGGAUGACUGUUUACAGUGCACGCCUUCGGGCUGCACCCUUCCUCAGGAGUCUGAGAACCCGACUGCCGUUUAAUGCCUCGAAACACGUCACCUGCUCCCACGGUCUCUCAUCAGAAUAGUUCAGACUGGUGCAAAAACGAGACGCGCGCCCCAGAAAAAGCUCAGUUUCCAGAUCGGUAGAGGUUUUGGGGAUUCGUGCCGCUUCUCGGCCUUUCUCCCAGGACCGGCGAGAAGGGCACGCUUCCCCCACCCCAGGUAUGUUCCCGGGUCGCGGAGGGUUUGUGCUCGGACACCGGGGCAGUUCCCAACUACUCCCUCCAAGUUACGCAUUCCACACUUAGCGCCACCGGAGCCGAAAAUGGCCGGUGCCCGCCACCUCCCCGCCACUGCCCGGGGCUGCGGAAGCCACCGGCCCGGCCCCCUCUCGACUUGGCGCCCAAAGACUUGCGUCGGGUCCAACACCUUUCCCCAGCUCUGCAGGUGCCGCGCUCUUUGGGGGGCGCGCUGUAGGGUGUCCCGAUGAUGUCUUUGGGGGCGCACUGUGGGGCGUCCCCGUGAUCGCCGCGACCCCCUCGACAGCUCGCCCCUCUCUGCUUUAGCUUUGCGCUCGCGAACGCCUCGCCCUCUCCGCCCUCUCCUC